RNAcentral lists this ribosomal RNA (493 nucleotides) under Pseudomonas sp. CL1.52. RNAcentral's name for it is "bacterial SSU rRNA". It matches the Rfam family "Bacterial small subunit ribosomal RNA", at positions 14 to 500 of the family's 1533-position model. The record is from RNAcentral. Lineage: Bacteria; Pseudomonadati; Pseudomonadota; Gammaproteobacteria; Pseudomonadales; Pseudomonadaceae.
UGAUCCCAUGGCUCAGAUUGAACGCUGGCGGCAGGCCUAACACAUGCAAGUCGAGCGGAUGAAGAGAGCUUGCUCUCUGAUUCAGCGGCGGACGGGUGAGUAAUGCCUAGGAAUCUGCCUGGUAGUGGGGGACAACGUCUCGAAAGGGACGCUAAUACCGCAUACGUCCUACGGGAGAAAGCAGGGGACCUUCGGGCCUUGCGCUAUCAGAUGAGCCUAGGUCGGAUUAGCUAGUUGGUGAGGUAAUGGCUCACCAAGGCGACGAUCCGUAACUGGUCUGAGAGGAUGAUCAGUCACACUGGAACUGAGACACGGUCCAGACUCCUACGGGAGGCAGCAGUGGGGAAUAUUGGACAAUGGGCGAAAGCCUGAUCCAGCCAUGCCGCGUGUGUGAAGAAGGUCUUCGGAUUGUAAAGCACUUUAAGUUGGGAGGAAGGGCAUUAACCUAAUACGUUAGUGUUUUGACGUUACCGACAGAAUAAGCACCGGCUAA